This 1432-nucleotide unclassified non-coding RNA is filed under the name Hevea brasiliensis (rubber tree). Lineage: Eukaryota; Viridiplantae; Streptophyta; Magnoliopsida; Malpighiales; Euphorbiaceae. The record is from RNAcentral.
GGGAUUGCCUCACUCUUCUCCCUCUCCAAUCCCUAACCCUAAUCCCCCCAUGGCAGUCAUGGCGACCUCCUCCCUCUCCUCUGUCCACUCCUCCUUCAUCAACAACCACCACCAUUCCGCCUUCCCCCUCCCUUCCACCAAGCCCCUCUCCGCCCGUUCCCGGGUCGCCCCCGCCGCCGUCAAGCCCAUCUCCGCCUCAUCCUCCUCCGCCUCCAAGUACGACCUCUCCGCCUUCACCUUCGCCCCCAUCAAAGAAUCCAUCGUUGCCCGCGAGAUGACCCGCCGCUACAUGACUGACAUGAUUACCUACGCCGACACCGAUGUCGUUAUCGUCGGCGCCGGCGCCUCCGGUCUCUCCUGCGCUUACGAGCUCUCAAAGGACCCAUCUAUCAACAUCGCUAUCAUCGAGCAGUCCGUCUCCCCCGGCGGCGGUGCUUGGCUGGGUGGGCAGCUCUUCUCUGCCAUGAUUGUCCGCAAGCCGGCCCACUUCUUCCUUGACGAGCUAGAGAUACCUUACGAUGAAGCGGAUACAUAUGUCGUCAUAAAACAUGCCGCCCUCUUCACCUCCACCAUUAUGAGCCGCCUCCUCGCCCGCCCGAAUGUGAAGCUCUUCAACGCUGUCGCAGCUGAAGAUCUCAUAGUAAAAGAGGGGAGAGUUGCCGGCGUUGUCACCAACUGGGCUCUGGUGUCGAUGAACCACGACACACAGUCCUGCAUGGACCCAAAUGUCAUGGAGGCGAAGGUCGUUGUCAGCUCAUGCGGGCAUGACGGCCCUUUUGGUGCCUCCGGUGUGAAGCGCCUGAAAGAUAUCGGCAUGAUCGACGUUGUCCCCGGCAUGAAGGCAAUUGAUAUGAACACUGCUGAGGAUGCGGUUGUGCGCUUGACUAGGGAGGUGGUGCCGGGGAUGAUCAUCACUGGCAUGGAGGUGGCGGAGGUCGACGGAGCUCCCAGAAUGGGGCCGACUUUUGGAGCUAUGAUGAUCUCGGGGCAGAAGGCGGCGCACCUGGCGUUGAAGGCUCUUGGGCGAGGGAAUGCGCUGGACGGGAAGGUGGCGCAGCCGGAGCUUGUGUUGGCCUCAUCGGAGGGGGGUGUUGUGGAGGCUUAGAGUUUGGGAGCCUGUGUUACCCAUUGGAGGGGAUGUUGUCAUGGGUUAGAGUUUGUGAGCUUGUGUUAGUGGGAGGUGACGACGAGGAAGAAUAAGACACGUAUCCUUGUUGCUUUGUUUUUUCUUUUUCUUUACAAGUUCAGAUUGUUUUUAGUGAGGGAUGUCUUUUGGCAUGUGACAACCAAAUGCUGCCUCUUUAGCUCGUACAUAAAUAUAUGGUUAUUUUUUAAUGUACGGUGGUCUUUAUCCCGUACAUAAAUAUAUAAUUGCUUUUAAUGUACGGUUGUAUUUAUCCGAUUGGUUUGUCCGUACAUAAAUAUAUGGUUG